AAAGUUGCAUGCAUGCUUCAUGUAUUUUUAGUUAACACUAUUGCUUUAUGGGGUUUAUAAUUUAGUGCAGUAGUACUUCAUGAAUUUCCACACUCCUGAGCACCUGGCCUCUCAUACCGUCCCUGGCCAGAAGAAUCAAUACCACCUGGAGGCUCAUUAGAACUGGCAGAAUUAGCCGCCCCACCCGUGCCAGAUCCACUAAAUCAGAUCCUGCAUGUUAACCGGGUCCUCAGGUGAUCUGUGGCGCAUAAAGGCUUGAGAGGCUCUGACUUAGAUUACAGUAACAGGCCUCCACUUGUCUCCCUUCCCACAUUUUUGCUGCUCCAGUCCUACUGGAUCAGGGAUUCCUAACAUGAGGGUGAAGAUAAUUCUGGGCCUUAGGGAUCCAGAGAAUUUUAUGCAGCAUGUAUGUAUAUUUUAUGUGCAUGUAUGUAUAUGUGCCCUUUUCAGGAAAGGGUUCAUUGCUUUUCUUUUUAUCCCAUGUUAGUAAAGUAGUGUUCUCAAAGGAUGUUCCCGUCAGCAACACUUAGGAACUUGGGAGCAAUGCACAUGCUGGGGGUGGAAGCUUGCAGUGCUUUAAUAAGCCCUCCAGUGAUCCUGAUGUUACAAGUUUGAGAACUACUGAAUUAGAGACUGAAGGCAAAGAACAGGGUGAGGCCACUUGUUGCAUCACUGUCUAGUCUGUGUGACCAGGACUGUGAUGCGGCCGUGAACUGACACUGGUAUCCAGUGAGCUAGCUGAAGUGGAGGCAGAGGAAAGGUGAUGGGUUUGAUGUUAGAUGUACUGAACUUGAUGAUAUUAAUUUCAAAUGUUUAUCAAAUAAUAUUCUAUCUGUAUAUUCAACUUAGCAUAAGAGUAAAGAAAAUGGGCUUUACAAUCGAACAGACCUGAGCUUGAGACCUGGCUCUGCCACUCACCUACUGGAUCUCCUGGUCUUUUGUUAACAAUAUUUAUUUUGUCAUUCACGAGCUCUUCCUACCAAGUUAUCUUCAUCUAUUUUUCUGAAUUAAAUGGUAAGUUUCCCAUUUCCUUCUUGCCAAAUCUUUAUCACAGAUUUAAAAAUAUUUCUUUCAUGAAAAGUUUAUGCGUAUUUAUAUAACACAGGCUGGAUAAAAUGAAGGAUUAAAGUUUAUCACAAAACUUUACAUAGUUGUUCAUUAAAACUGAGACCAACCAAGUUAUGAGCUUUUGGAAGCAAAACUUUUCCCUACCAAUUCACUGAGUGCUACGGCAGCUGUAAGACAAGCACUUGGCUCCUGUGUACUCAGAAGUUCCCACUCCGGUGGAGAGCAUGAGACUCAUGAGCAGGACAUGGUGACAAAUGACACUAGUCAGUCAGGUAUAAGGGAGGGUAGAGACCAAUGAGAUGUCACCACUGUAAAGUAAAAGUAAUUGAUUUAACGGAAUCUAAUGUAUAAACGUUAAAUGCAGGGAAAUCUGAAACUAUUUAUUGUGAUAAUUACAUUUAUAAUUUCACCAUUUGAAUGUUAACUAUCAAAGAUCACCAGGAAAAAGUCAGGCCCCGCCAAUUUGCCCAAAUAAAAUAUUUGCAGAGAUGGAGAAAUUAUAUAAGUUAAUUGUAAUAAAUAUGUACUGAAAUAUUAUAAUCUCAACUUAAUAAAAUAAUUCGGAGCAGUACACAGUCAUGUGGGAUCUGGGGUUGGGAGAGCAUAGGACUUUUAGUAAAAUUUUAAAACUUAAAGCUGACCAUUUCACACUCGAUCUUAUUUCAGGAAAUCAUCUGCAUGUGCCACAGCUAUCUUCUGAAUUAAAUGGCAUCAUACCUGUGUUACAUUUCCAGAAACACGAGUCUAAAAAAAGACUGUUAUUUACCCACUGCUUCUUCUUGGUCUGGGAAAUCAGUUGCUUGUGCUGUGUUGCCAGCUUCUUGAUUUCUUCUACAAAUUCCUCCUUACACUUUUCCUUUACUUGCUUACAUUUUCUGUCCAUCUCACCCUGCAUGUUGGCUAUAGCUUUAUUUACAGCCUGUCUCUUUUCCUCUUCCAUUUCAGAACGCAGCUGGAACGAAAAGAAACCCCAUAGUAGAUGUUUACUGUGUACCAGUGGAAGGCACUACAAAGAAUGGAGAAGUGGUGUGAUCUUGAGUUUCAUUGCCUCAUUUGACAGCUGCAAGAAUGUUGCCCACAGGGGUUAAGGUAAAUGAUUAAUUAGUGGUUGGAAUCCAGCAAGGUCUUAAUCUUCUGAUUAUCAGGAUGGCACUUCAUAUGCUGCCUCUGCCUUUGAGGGACUUAUAAUUUUGUCAGAAAGAACUAAGGAAUAAUUAUAAUGCAAUGCAGCAGGUAGUAAAGGUACUCUAGGGUGCUAUGGAGAAGAGGAAGUUUUCAUUUGGUUGUGAGUGGUCACAACAUUUUAUUUGGCCUUGGUCUUGAAAGAUUAAGUAAGAUUUAAACAGCAGACAAUAUGAGUAGAAAGAUUCCAGGCAGAGGGAACAUUACAAAUGAGAUAGGCAACAACAUGGAUGCAUGAGUCACAGACACUUUCUACAGCAGAGUACCAGUUGCGAUACGGUACUAUAAACACACACAUAUUUAUGCUUUUUAGUUUUCUGUUAAAGAUUUUUUUCCUGCUAUAAAUGUAUAUGAUAUUAUAGUUUUCAUCCCUGGCCUAUAAAUUAUAGAGCUCCAGAAAUACUGGGCCUAUGACCAUUUUGAAGGAAUCACUUACAGGAUCAUUGCCACAUGUGCCUCAGGCAUAAAUAAAAAUUUCUACUUGUUUGUAAAAGUCAAGCUUUAUAAUCUAGAAGUACAUUUUAAAUAUACAGUAAUCUAUAUCAUUAGAUGCUAACAAUAGCUAAAAUUGUUACUGUUAUUUAUUUUAUUUUUUUUUUUUGAGACGGAGUUUCGCUCUUGUUACCCAGGCUGGAGUGCAAUGGCGCAAUCUCGGCUCACCACAACUUCCACCUCCUGGGUUCAGGCAAUUCUCCUGCCUCAGCCUCCUGAGUAGCUGGGAUUACAGGCACGCGCCACCAUGCCCAGCUAAUUUUUUGUAUUUUUAGUAUAGACGGGGUUUCACCAUGUUGACCAGGAUGGUCUCGAUCUGUUGACCUCGUGAUUCACCCGCCUCGGCCUCCCAAAGUGCUGGGAUUACAGGCUUGAGCCACCGCGCCCAGCCCUACUGUUAACAUUAUAUCAACUGUCUCAUCUGGCCUUAAGUAUUUUGUUAAAAACCAUAUCAAAGUAAACUAAACUUUGAGAAAUUAAACUCCAAUGCAGAGUACAAAUGAAAUUAUGCUUGUGGAGAGUUUCUUGCCAUUAUAUUUUGAAUUAAUAUAUUUAGUCUUCCAGUCAACAGCUAUUUAUUAAGUAAGUUGCUAUUAUGUAGUAGAAAUUCAAUAAAAAUGGUUUGCUCACUUUUUAAAGUAGUUUGCUCUUGAAACCUGGAAUGAACUCGUCAUCUAUAGGAGUAUUUUCCAUACUUAAAUUAUUUAUCUUAAAUAAAAUGGAUUCACGUUUGUUCUUUAAAAAGCCUCAACACAGUUCAUAAUGUACUUCUAUUCUCUUUUAAUCAACUCCAGUACUAUAGAAUAUCAGAUUUCAGUUAAAAAAAAAUUAUCACAGGGUUUGCUCUCUGAUCUUAAAAAAAAAAAAAACCCACAAUUUAAGGUAAGUCUAAAUAA
Callithrix jacchus (white-tufted-ear marmoset) is the source of this 3638-nucleotide long non-coding RNA. RefSeq lists it as uncharacterized. The record is from RefSeq and is a predicted model, not a curated record. Lineage: Eukaryota; Metazoa; Chordata; Mammalia; Primates; Cebidae.